This 253-nucleotide ribosomal RNA is filed under the name uncultured bacterium. RNAcentral's name for it is "partial 16S ribosomal RNA". It matches the Rfam family "Bacterial small subunit ribosomal RNA", at positions 524 to 776 of the family's 1533-position model. The record is from RNAcentral.
UACGGGGGGGGCAAGCGUUGUUCGGAAUUACUGGGCGUAAAGGGCUCGUAGGUGGCCAACUAAGUCAGACGUGAAAUCCCUCAGCUUAACUGGGGAACUGCGUCUGAUACUGGAUGGCUUGAGUUUGGGAGAGGGGUGCGGAAUUCCAGGUGUAGCGGUGAAAUGCGUAGAUAUCUGGAGGAACACCGGUGGCGAAGGCGGCAUCCUGGACCAACACUGACACUGAUGAGCGAAAGCCAGGGGAGCAAACGGG